RNAcentral lists this non-coding RNA (28 nucleotides) under Bombyx mori (domestic silkworm). The record is from RNAcentral. Lineage: Eukaryota; Metazoa; Arthropoda; Insecta; Lepidoptera; Bombycidae.
UUCUACAGGUGGUGCUCUGCCUACACGC